CGUGAGCAACAUGCCCGUAUCAGGGGGAUAAUCCAUGGAAACGUGGUCUAAUACCCCAUAGUAAUUAUGUAAGGCAUCUUAUAUAAUUUAAAGCUUUGGUGGAUACGGAUUGGCUCGCGUGACAUUAGCUAGAUGGUAAGGUAACGGCUUACCAUGGCUACGAUGUCUAGGGGUUCUGAGAGGAAGGUCCCCCCACACUGGAACUGAGACACGGUCCAGACUCCUACGGGAGGCAGCAGUGAGGAAUAUUGGACAAUGGAUGGAAAUCUGAUCCAGCCAUGCCGCGUGCAAGGAAGACGGCCCUAUGGGUUGUAAACUGCUUUUGUAUGGGAGCAAUAAGGGCUACGUGUAGUCCGAUGAGAGUACCAUACGAAUAAGCACCGGCUAACUCCGUGCCAGCCGCCGC
RNAcentral lists this ribosomal RNA (406 nucleotides) under uncultured bacterium. RNAcentral describes it as "bacterial SSU rRNA". It matches the Rfam family "Bacterial small subunit ribosomal RNA", at positions 116 to 518 of the family's 1533-position model. The record is from RNAcentral.